UCACGUCACAAUUUAUGCCAUCCAUUUGCAUUGGUUCAAGCUUUAGCUACGAUCUCCUUUUCUUCCUCCCUUAUCACAUACAACUCACGCCUCCUCUCUCUCGUCAUUCUUCUUCUCUUCCAGUCUCGUCUUCCUCCGAAUCUCUGCGUUUGCACGCCGCUCCUCCUGCGAAUGGCCUCGCCGGAAAUGGGACGGCCCUUGCCUAAAUUUGGAGACUGGGAUGUGAACAACCCAGCAUCAGCUGAAGGGUUUACUAUGAUAUUUACCAGAGCUAGAGAUCAGAAGAUGACCAAUGGGCCGCCUGACAAUGGGACUCCGGCUCCCUCUUCAACCAAACCAAUAAACAAUCAAUAUCCCCAAGAGAAAAAAUGGUUUUGCUGUUUGUGAAGAUCUCCACGCUUUGGUGUUUCUGAGAAUCAGUAAUGUUAUUAUUUGAGUAUUGUAAUUGAAUUAUCUCUAGCUUUUGAUGAUUAAUCCUUGUUCGAAGUUUAAACACUUAAUUUUCCAUGUCCCCCAUACUUUUGUGUAGAUUAAUACAUAUUUAAAUUGUAGGAAGAAAGGUGGCAAAGUAAUUUGAAUGAGAAGUAUGUUUCUUUUUUAUA
Long non-coding RNA from Malus domestica (apple), 602 nucleotides. RefSeq lists it as uncharacterized. Lineage: Eukaryota; Viridiplantae; Streptophyta; Magnoliopsida; Rosales; Rosaceae. The record is from RefSeq and is a predicted model, not a curated record.